AGCCGGGGAGUUAGCGGUGCCCUGUACCUGCAAUCCGCUACAGCAGGGGUGAUGCCAAUCUGAGGACUGUAUCUUGCAGAGCUGCCCUUUAUAAGUGGCGUUGACGUCCGGGUCUCGCGCAACAGGAAUCUGUGAACCGUGUCAGGGCAGGAAUGCAGCAGCACUAAGCAGACGCUCCUGUGUGCCGCGAGGGUGCCUGGGCCGAGUUAACUGUAAAGGUAACGUCUGUGGGAGCAUUUCGAGGUGCGGCGCGC
Molecule: signal recognition particle RNA, 254 nt
Filed under: uncultured Blautia sp.
Lineage: Bacteria; Bacillati; Bacillota; Clostridia; Lachnospirales; Lachnospiraceae
Description: Bacterial large signal recognition particle RNA
Rfam family: Bacterial large signal recognition particle RNA
About the family: The signal recognition particle (SRP) is a universally conserved ribonucleoprotein involved in the co-translational targeting of proteins to membranes.
Source: RNAcentral